GAUUAUGCUAUGAUUGGGAAGAGUACACGAUAAUUCGGUCUUCAGAGAAGGGUUUGUUUGCUGAGAGAACCCGAUUCCGAACCGCUGGAAGUCCCCCAUGAGCAGCUAUGGUGAAAGGUCUUACAGGACUUAGUAAUUAUUAGCCGGCUAAACACCGUUAUUGGAAUGAAGUGCACAGGUUUUUUUCUUGUGUAAAAAGGUGGUACCGCGAAUGUCGCUCCUUUCGUCCUUUUA
This 234-nucleotide non-coding RNA is filed under the name Jeotgalibacillus soli. Its description in RNAcentral is "T-box sequence". It matches the Rfam family "T-box leader". Rfam says of the family: Uncharged tRNA acts as the effector for transcription antitermination of genes in the T-box leader family. T-boxes are found upstream of many aminoacyl-tRNA synthetase genes and some amino acid biosynthetic genes usually in Gram-positive bacteria. The record is from RNAcentral. Lineage: Bacteria; Bacillati; Bacillota; Bacilli; Caryophanales; Caryophanaceae.